AGGGGGUUGAGCUUUAUGUCUGUUCAUCAGUUCAAGAUGUGGUGGAUGAUGCAGAGAAUGGGGACUCGCUGGUUGGAUCGGAUUUCACGAGGUGUAUGCUGGCCAAAGAACCAACUGGCUUCUCAUUUUCUACUACAUCUCUCUGCCAGUAGACUUUGCUUCAGGAAGCAGCAGCACUAGCUAGCAGCAAGUGAUGUUUUAUUUAUGGUGCAGACAAGCCAGCACAGGGAUUUGCAAGUAACAAUAGAAGAUGGGACUCCAAUUAUACCAGCACCUGCAAUAUUAUUUUAGUAUUUUCUUAAUUGAGCAUGAGUUUGAUAGCAAAUUUAGUUAACAACUGGUUGCAAUAUUGCUUGGUUGUGUUUUGUCGAUGAACGGCUAUAUUAUUGUAGUUUGGAGUUUUUCGAUGACUUUAGAUUGCGGUAGUUUGGCCUUUGGUAUAUUGAUUGUAUAUGGUUGAAUGUUAAAUAUUGGUAUUGCGGUUUCUAUC
Long non-coding RNA from Daucus carota subsp. sativus, 490 nucleotides. RefSeq lists it as uncharacterized. The record is from RefSeq and is a predicted model, not a curated record. The transcript is spliced from 3 exons. NCBI's taxonomy places the organism in Eukaryota, Viridiplantae, Streptophyta, Magnoliopsida, Apiales, Apiaceae.